CCUUAUGACCAUGUGACCCUUAAUGCGCCUGAUCUCGUGUGAUCUUAGAAGCUAAAUAGAGUCUGGCCUGGUUAGUACUUGAAGGGGAGAAGUUGUAUCUG
Molecule: ribosomal RNA, 101 nt
Filed under: Sorex araneus (European shrew)
Lineage: Eukaryota; Metazoa; Chordata; Mammalia; Eulipotyphla; Soricidae
Source: RNAcentral